AACGAACGCUGGCGGCAGGCCUAACACAUGCAAGUCGAGCGCUUCCUUCGGGAAGAGCGGCGGACGGGUUAGUAACGCGUGGGAACGUGCCCUUCUCUAAGGAAUAGCCACUGGAAACGGUGAGUAAUACCUUAUACGCCCUUCGGGGGAAAGAUUUAUCGGAGAAGGAUCGGCCCGCGUUAGAUUAGAUAGUUGGUGGGGGUAACGCCUACCAAGUCUACGAUCUAUAGCUGGUUUUAGAGGAUGAUCCAG
RNAcentral lists this ribosomal RNA (252 nucleotides) under uncultured bacterium. RNAcentral's name for it is "partial 16S ribosomal RNA". It matches the Rfam family "Bacterial small subunit ribosomal RNA", at positions 29 to 307 of the family's 1533-position model. The record is from RNAcentral.